AUUGAACGCUGGCGGCAUGCCUUACACAUGCAAGUCGAACGGCAGCACGGGAGCAAUCCUGGUGGCGAGUGGCGAACGGGUGAGUAAUAUAUCGGAACGUGCCCAGUCGUGGGGAUAACGUAGCGAAAGCUACGCUAAUACCGCAUACGAUCUAUGGAUGAAAGCGGGGGAUCGCAAGACCUCGCGCGAUUGGAGCGGCCGAUAUCAGAUUAGGUAGUUGGUGAGGUAAAGGCUCACCAAGCCGACGAUCUGUAGCUGGUCUGAGAGGACGACCAGCCACACUGGGACUGAGACACGGCCCAGACUCCUACGGGAGGCAGCAGUGGGGAAUUUUGGACAAUGGCGCAAGCCUGAUCCAGCAAUGCCGCGUGCAGGAUGAAGGCCUCGGUGUAACUGNUUGUUACGGUAACGGUAAACCGGGUA
RNAcentral lists this ribosomal RNA (423 nucleotides) under uncultured bacterium. RNAcentral describes it as "bacterial SSU rRNA". It matches the Rfam family "Bacterial small subunit ribosomal RNA", at positions 30 to 459 of the family's 1533-position model. The record is from RNAcentral.